AGUGGAAUUCCUGAGACAUAUGGUCAUUCUAUGUUUAACUUUUUGGGAAACUGCCAAGCUGUUUUCCAUAGCAGCUGUUCCAUUUUACAUUCCCACCAGUAAU
Molecule: microRNA precursor, 103 nt
Filed under: Marmota monax (woodchuck)
Lineage: Eukaryota; Metazoa; Chordata; Mammalia; Rodentia; Sciuridae
Source: RNAcentral